This 427-nucleotide ribosomal RNA is filed under the name uncultured bacterium. RNAcentral describes it as "bacterial SSU rRNA". It matches the Rfam family "Bacterial small subunit ribosomal RNA", at positions 355 to 773 of the family's 1533-position model. The record is from RNAcentral.
UGGGGAAUAUUGCGCAAUGGGCGAAAGCCUGACGCAGCGACGCCGCGUGGGUGAUGAAGGCCUUCGGGUCGUAAAGCCCUGUCGCAGGGGAAGAACAAGCGUACGGAUAAUACCCGUGCGCCCUGACGGUACCCUGCAAGAAAGCACCGGCUAACUCCGUGCCAGCAGCCGCGGUAAUACGAGGGGGGCAAGCGUUGUUCGGAUUUAUUGGGCGUAAAGGGUGCGUAGGCGGUUUGGCAAGUCUUGUGUGAAAUCUUCGGGCUCAACCCGAAGCCUGCACAAGAAACUGCCGGGCUUGAGUAUGGGAGAGGUGAGUGGAAUUUCCGGUGUAGCGGUGAAAUGCGUAGAUAUCGGAAGGAACACCUGUGGCGAAAGCGGCUCACUGGACCAUAACUGACGCUGAGGCACGAAAGCUAGGGGAGCAAAC